This 529-nucleotide ribosomal RNA is filed under the name uncultured bacterium. RNAcentral describes it as "bacterial SSU rRNA". It matches the Rfam family "Bacterial small subunit ribosomal RNA", at positions 980 to 1509 of the family's 1533-position model. The record is from RNAcentral.
CUUGACAUCCAGAGAAUUUAGCAGAGAUGCUUUAGUGCCUUCGGGAACUCUGAGACAGGUGCUGCAUGGCUGUCGUCAGCUCGUGUUGUGAAAUGUUGGGUUAAGUCCGCAACGAGCGCAACCCUUAUCCUUUGUUGCCAGCACGUAAUGGUGGGAACUCAAAGGAGACUGCCGGUGAUAAACCGGAGGAAGGUGGGGAUGACGUCAAGUCAUCAUGGCCCUUACGAGUAGGGCUACACACGUGCUACAAUGGCGCAUACAAAGAGAAGCGACCUCGCGGGAGCAAGCGGACCUCAUAAAGUGCGUCGUAGUCCGGAUUGGAGUCUGCAACUCGACUCCAUGAAGUCGGAAUCGCUAGUAAUCGUAAAUCAGAAUGUUACGGUGAAUACGUUCCCGGGCCUUGUACACACCGCCCGUCACACCAUGGGAGUGGGUUGCAAAAGAAGUAGAUAGCUUAACCUUCGGGAGGGCGUUUACCACUUUGUGAUUCAUGACUGGGGUGAAGUCGUAACAAGGUAGGCGUAGUGCU